CCUACGGGACGCAGCAGUGGGGAAUAUUGGACAAUGGGCGAAAGCCUGAUCCAGCAAUGCCGCGUGUGUGAAGAAGGUCUUCGGAUUGUAAAGCACUUUCGACGGGGACGAUGAUGACGGUACCCGUAGAAGAAGCCCCGGCUAACUUCGUGCCAGCAGCCGCGGUAAUACGAAGGGGGCUAGCGUUGCUCGGAAUGACUGGGCGUAAAGGGCGCGUAGGCGGUUUAUGCAGUCAGAUGUGGAAUUCCCGGGCUUAACCCGGGAACUGCAUUUGAGACGCAUAGACUAGAGGUCGAGAGAGGGUUGUGGAAUUCCCAGUGUAGAGGUGAAAUUCGUAGAUCUUGGGAGGAACACCGGUGGCGAAGGCGGCUUACUGGUCUGCAACUGACGCUGAGGCGCGAAAGCGUGGGGAGCAAACAGGAUUAGAUACCCGGGUAGUC
RNAcentral lists this ribosomal RNA (440 nucleotides) under uncultured bacterium. RNAcentral's name for it is "bacterial SSU rRNA". It matches the Rfam family "Bacterial small subunit ribosomal RNA", at positions 338 to 795 of the family's 1533-position model. The record is from RNAcentral.